Molecule: ribosomal RNA, 891 nt
Filed under: uncultured bacterium
Lineage: Bacteria
Description: bacterial SSU rRNA
Rfam family: Bacterial small subunit ribosomal RNA
Source: RNAcentral
GAGUUUGAUCAUGGCUCAGGAUGAACGCUGGCGGCGUGCCUAAUACAUGCAAGUCGAGCGAACCACUUCGGUGGGAAGCGGCGAACGGGUGAGUAACACGUAGGUGAUCUGCCCAUCAGACGGGGACAACGAUUGGAAACGAUCGCUAAUACCGGAUAGGACGAAAGUUUAAAGAUGCUCCUGGCAUCACUGAUGGAUGAGCCUGCGGCGCAUUAGCUAGUUGGUGGGGUAAAGGCCUACCAAGGCGACGAUGCGUAGCCGACCUGAGAGGGUGAACGGCCACACUGGGACUGAGACACGGCCCAGACUCCUACGGGAGGCAGCAGUAGGGAAUCUUCGGCAAUGGGCGAAAGCCUGACCGAGCAACGCCGCGUGAAUGAAGAAGGCCUUCGGGUUGUAAAAUUCUGUUAUAAGGGAAGAAAGGUGAUAGGAGGAAAUGACUAUCAAUUGACGGUACCUUAUGAGAAAGCCACGGCUAACUACGUGCCAGCAGCCGCGGUAAUACGUAGGUGGCAAGCGUUAUCCGGAAUUAUUGGGCGUAAAGAGCGCGCAGGUGGUUAAUUAAGUCUGAUGUGAAAGCCCACGGCUUAACCGUGGAGGGUCAUUGGAAACUGGUUGACUUGAGUGCAGAAGAGGGAAGUGGAAUUCCAUGUGUAGCGGUGAAAUGCGUAGAGAUAUGGAGGAACACCAGUGGCGAAGGCGGCUUCCUGGUCUGCAACUGACACUGAGGCGCGAAAGCGUGGGGAGCAAACAGGAUUAGAUACCCUGGUAGUCCACGCCGUAAACGAUGAGUGCUAAGUGUUGGGGGUCGAACCUCAGUGCUGAAGUUAACGCAUUAAGCACUCCGCCUGGGGAGUACGGUCGCAAGACUGAAACUCAAAGGAAUUGACG